This 439-nucleotide ribosomal RNA is filed under the name uncultured bacterium. RNAcentral's name for it is "partial 16S ribosomal RNA". It matches the Rfam family "Bacterial small subunit ribosomal RNA", at positions 339 to 795 of the family's 1533-position model. The record is from RNAcentral.
CUACGGGUGGCAGCAGUGAGGAAUAUUGCACAAUGGGGGGAACCCUGAUGCAGCAACGCCGCGUGGAGGAUGACGCAUUUCGGUGUGUAAACUCCUUUUAUAUGUCAAGAAAAUGACGGUAGCAUAUGAAUAAGCACCGGCUAACUCCGUGCCAGCAGCCGCGGUAAUACGGAGGGUGCAAGCGUUACUCGGAAUCACUGGGCGUAAAGGACGCGUAGGCGGGUUGGAAAGUCAGGUGUGAAAUCCUACAGCUUAACUGUAGAACUGCACUUGAAACUUCUAAUCUAGAGUAUGGGAGGGGGAGAUGGAAUUAGUGGUGUAGGGGUAAAAUCCGUAGAUAUCACUAGGAAUACCUAAAGCGAAGGCGAUCUCCCGGAACAUUACUGACGCUAAGGCGUGAAAGCGUGGGGAGCAAACAGGAUUAGUUACCCUAGUAGUC